Molecule: ribosomal RNA, 301 nt
Filed under: uncultured bacterium
Lineage: Bacteria
Description: partial 16S ribosomal RNA
Rfam family: Bacterial small subunit ribosomal RNA
Source: RNAcentral
CAGUAGCCACGGGAAUACAGAGGGUGCGAGCGUUAAUCGGAUUUACUGGGCGUAAAGCGUGCGUAGGCGGCUAAUUGAGUCGGAUGUGAAAUCCCUGAGCUUAACUUAGGAAUUGCAUUCGAUACUGGGAAGCUAGAGUAUGGGAGAGGAUGGUAGAAUUCCAGGUGUAGCGGUGAAAUGCGUAGAUAUAGGAAGGAACACCAGUGGCGAAGGCGACCACCUGGACUGAUACUGACACUGAGGUGCGAAAGCGUGGGGAGCAAACAGGAUUAGAUACCCCUGUAGUCCCUGUCUCUUAUAC